Long non-coding RNA from Xenopus laevis (African clawed frog), 2107 nucleotides. RefSeq lists it as uncharacterized. The record is from RefSeq and is a predicted model, not a curated record. The transcript has 3 exons. Lineage: Eukaryota; Metazoa; Chordata; Amphibia; Anura; Pipidae.
GAGUUACACAUCUCUCCUGAGCCUAAGCAAGACACACAACUACUAAUAAAGUACUGUUUUUUUUGCUGGUUGCUGUUGUAGGAGGUGCAGCUAUUUUGUGCCUGCUGCUGUUAGUCCUUCUCUGCCUGCAAACACCCCCCCCCAUUUUGCCUGUCAGGUAUUGUGUCUGUGCUACUCUUUUUCCCUAUGCAUAUAACAAGUAGAAGCUUACAGACUGCAACAUUUACUGCAGGUACAACCGUUUUGGAUAAACCUUAGGAUAAAGUUUCAAAGAAAUCUAGGCAGAGGAACAUGUGCUGUAAAGGAAACAUAAUAUUGAGCUUAGACUGAUUCAGUCUUUAUUGCCUGACUACAGCCACCACAUAAGCAGGCACUAAGCAUCUCUACUUGUGCCAAGAAGCAGGACCGCCAUCAGAAAUCGCAGGGCCCCGUACGACAAAAUUUCCUGGGCCCCCUGGGCUGCGCCCACCGCAAGCUCCACCUACAGGUGGAGGGAUUUACCAGAUUGCCAUUUUCAGUCAUGGAUCUGGCACUUCCCUAUUUUAAACAUCAAUGAUUACUAAUGAAUUAAUGUAUUUUAGUUAAGGACAAAGGAUUAUAUAAUGUAUAGAUAGUUUAAAAAUGUUUUGGAUGCAUGUAAUUGUUCCACUGUCUCUCUUUGCAUAGCUUACCUUUAUUUGUUAUGCUAAACACAUUCUUUUGUUUCCAAGCUGUCUCAGGAGAGAAAUUUCCUUAAACAAAAGUUAAUAGAGGCACCGAGGACAAUAUAUAAAUAAAAAAGCAAAACACUUAUUCACCACAGGAAAAAAUGGGCUUGUAAUUAGAAAAUGUAAAAGCGGUGAAAAUGCUGCUUAUUUAAAUGCUCCAAAAAACAAACCGAGUUUAUUAUAAGUGCUUUGUGUAUUCACAUCCCUGUUUCAGCCUGAAUGAAAUAAUUAUUGCAUGGCCUGCCGCAGUGAUUUACUUAAAGCUCGAUUAUUCCAUCUUGACCUGCAUAAGUGUUGAAUUCAUAAUGGUGCAAUCUCUCUUGCUUGGGCAAAAAUCAUUGCUAAGCUCCUUAUAAAAGCUGAAAGGCUUUUCAACAUAAAGUAGGCACUGUUCUUUUUUUAAGCAAAAAUUAACACACUGGAUAAGGUGAUAAAUAAGUGGCCCUGUUAACUGUUUGCCAUGUAAACUAAAGUCAAGGUGUCAUCAAAGGUUUGCAGGAGUGUUAAGUACUGAGGAUUUUAGGGUCAUGAGUUAAGCUUUUUGUUGUGAAAUAAGAUUCCAGCUGGGUCUAAAGGGAAACCAGAGACUUGAGUGGUACAGUUCCGGUACCUGCAUAUGUGGUAAAUAUUGGAUCAGUAGCAGAUACUGGAGUAUGGGUUGUAUUAGCCAUGGAUUCCGUUUGACACCUUUUAUGUUCUGCUUGUAUGCAACAUAGCAUGUAUAGUUUCAUCAUUUAUUUGGGAUGAAAAAAGGCAACUGUCUAUCAUGUUCAACCACUGUAAAUGAUCCCCUGCACACACACCAUUAUAUACACACCUUAUGCACGUGCUCAUUUCUGAAAUACAGGUCAAAUCCCAGGUGCAGCUCUAGUUCAGCUACAAACAUGUUGGAAAAAAUGCAGGGGGCACACCAGGUCUUCAAUUAUCAAAAUAUUUGUUGACAUUUAUAUCUGGGUCGUAGGAUAAAGGUCUUAGAAACCUGGAUAAAGCUUUGACAAAUGAAACUAAAAAAACACGUAAAGCCUAUUUCACUGGGGGAGCACCAAAAUGCUAGGCACCCGUACAGUGAAAUAGAUUGCAAAGUUUUUCCUCAGGCCCCUGGAAAAAUUGAGAAGUUCGCUGGAAUUUUCUUUCCUUUAAUCCUUCAGACUUUGUUAAAUUUACUGUACUGCACGUGCAAAAACAUAUCUGCUCAAGAGAAGUCUGGAAAAUGGUAAAUUAAAUGCCAUUGAAGCAUUUUUUUGGGGGAAUGCCACCGAGCAACAUCUCUAUUUUUUUGUACACACAGACACCCAGAGUGCAGGGUGCUGGACACUCUUGUAGCUUUGAAAACGAACCUCCUGCGCCCAGUCUGGGUGCAUACCUCCCAACAUUUUGGAAGUAAUAAGAGGGCCAAAAAA